This is a non-coding RNA of Phasianus colchicus (ring-necked pheasant), 2838 nucleotides long. The record is from RefSeq and is a predicted model, not a curated record. NCBI's taxonomy places the organism in Eukaryota, Metazoa, Chordata, Aves, Galliformes, Phasianidae.
CAGAAAGGACACAAAUUAAACAGAGGAUUCCCCUUCUCUCAUCAGUGAGCAAAAUCAAAAGAUUAGAAAAUGUAUUGUAAGUUGUCAUCUUGCAAAAUCUAGAAAUAACAUGGAGUGCUUUCUCUAAACAUACAUAUUUUUUCAGAGAUGAUGUGUGAGAAGGUAGGAAAAAAAGGGAAGUAGAGGGGCUAUCUGCCUUCCAAAGGACCUUAAGGUUUCUUAAGGUCCUCUGCGAUAACCUGGUUUGAUUUUUGAUACACAGCAAUGAGAUACUCAAAGUGGUAAUUCGCUUCUUGUAAUUCCAAGUAUAGAAAAAUCACAAACCUGCAUGUGAUUCCUUUUCCAUUUAAUUAUGCGUGUAACUGUGGGCUUAUAAUGCACUGCACUGAAGGAUUGGAACGCUCAAGUGUUUGGUGUCUUGUGUAAAAAUAAAGAAAUAAAAAUACGCCAAGUGUUUUGCAGAAAGCAGUGGGUGCUGUGGCUGUUUGCUGCUGAGGAGGGCCCACUGCUCUACCUGUGUACACAAGCGCUUCCUGAAUUGCAGUGCUCAGCAAUUUUCUUGUACCACGGAGGAUCGUCUGUCACUCUUAAAUAAUAGCACUACCUGCUCAUUUAGGGUUUUCUCAAGGUUUCAGCAAUGUCAGUCUGAAUUGUGCUGUCUUGUAGAGGAGAGGCCUGUGUGGCAAAGCAAACUCUGAAGUGAGCAGUGAAGAUAAUGGAUGGAGAUGUUUUUCUAAGGGAGAACUCAUAGCUACGAAACUGGUUCUCCAUCAUCAGAAAAUGAUUUUUGUAAAAAUUUUUUAAGCUCUCUAAAGGAGUAAAAAUUGGUUGUUGGGUUCCUUCAGUCAAGGACCCGCUGCUGCCUGCUGGGAGAGCUGCCGGCUGCGCUGCCAUAACGGGCUGCGGCGUGGGCAGGGCAGGCAGCAGCUGGGGCGUCUGCAGCCAGGAACGAGGAAUGCCCAAAGAAGUCAAACAUAUGGAUGUGGCAAAUAGCUAUGUGGCAGAGCACCAGGAACUGUAAAAAUGAAGCACAAGAAGGAGAAUCUGGGGAACUCACAGGCUGGUUGGCUUCACCUCCGCACCUCUGAAAGCUAUGGAGCAAGUCAUCCCAAAGCUGCUUCCAGCAUCAGGGAGAGCAAGCCAUCAGCUGGGAGCAACCAACACUGAAUUCACCAAAAGCAAAUUGUGCCUGACCAUCCAGGCAGCUGGAAUCCAGGACAGAGGAAUGGAGAUCACCAAGGGAUGCUGAACAUUAAGGCUUCAAAAAGGAUGCACAAUCUUCUAGAUAUCAAAGUAUUAAAAAAAAACUGUGACAUUUCUAGUAAGUGGACUUUCUCAUGUAUUAAACUGGUUUGUGGGGAUAAAGGUACAUUUUCUUUGUCUAUUUGCUCCCCUCCUGCUAAGACAGUGGUGUACCUGUUUUGAUGUGAACAUUUAUUCAGCUGAACUGAAACCAUCAAUUCAUUUUUGCAGAGGUCACCAAAAAUCCAUCAGGUGGUAAUGACAUUCAGUCACUACUGAUGUGGGCUGGAUGUGAGCCAGUGAUCUAGAGGAGAAAGGCAGUCUAACCCAUUACCAGUCCCCUGGAGACAGCCAGUCCCCCACUUUUUGCUCAUCUUUCUGCUUCUACUGCUCUCAUAGGUUAAUCUUUCUUCUUCUAUGUCUAAUGUGAUAAUCUUUCUUUUCUCACAUAUCAGCUUUUCACUUUCUUGACAGUACUGCUGGCAAACAUCCUCAGCAUUUUUUCUUCUGAUGCAUAAGGUAUUAGUUAGGGCAGUGGUCAACAGGGGUUAUUUAAAUACAAAACAAACCAAAUCCUAACCACACAAAUGGAAUAUUUUAUUAUAGCCUUUCAAAGAAGGGAAUAAGUUGGUAAACAUUUUAAAAGUUCUUAUAAGAAUGUGGACAUGAAGGCCUGGGCCUGCCUUUAUGCUGUAUUGCUGUAAUUCAAAUUAUCUCAUUCAGCUACUAGAAAUACGUACCUUGGCAAAUUGUGCUUUUCAGCCUCUGGUGUUUCUGGCAGUGUCAGUGUCACAAGCUGCUUAACACCCUCCACCCCUCCCCAGUAGUCUAGUCCUAUUCUACUACACAGCAGUACUCUUUCAGCAUCUUAGCCAUGCAGAGGAUCAGACCAUGUUAGGUCAGGUGCAGUGCUGUGAUGGGGUGGCUGUGCUGCUCAUGAUGUUAUUGUUGGUUGGGCUGUACUUGGUAAGAGAGCUGAAAGUCUGUACCUAUGUGCCAAACAGUAAGAAUUGACACAGGAUACAAAACUGGAUGCUGGUGAACAUUUGUUUGGACUCAGUGUUCGUUCUGAGGUGAUAAAACCCAAGAAUAUUUCCUUACUAUUUUUUUUAGAUGGUUCCUCCUUACUGCUAUACUGUAUAAAUGCAUUUGAAAGAGAAUUUCUAAGAAAAGUUGCAAUGGGGCUAUAAACUAACACAUUACAUAAAAAUGUAUUCAUUGUGGAAAAGGGUUUGCAGCCAUCCUGAAAGUACUUUGUUGCUGCUGGAGUGUCUCUAGUUAGGGGAGAAAAGAAUCCUGUGACAAAUUAUAACGUGCAAGAUUUGCUGUGAGUAUUUUGAAAGCAGUUUGUGUUCUAAGAUGCUUCUCCAUAACAACGCAGUCUAUUUUUAAAUGCUUUAUCAACAUUUAAAAAUAAAGCUUUGUUAUUUGAAUUGAAUUAAUUUUGUUGAGGUCAACUGGGUUUUAAAUGGAUACUUUGACCUUAAUCAUAGGUUACUCCAAUGAGCUGAGAGCUAUAAUAGCAAUAUCUACCCAAGUGUCCUGUGCAACUUUCCACCCUCCUUCCCCCCUCCUUCCCCUUCCAAGUGAAAGAAA